AGGACGAACGCUGGCGGCGUGCUUAACACAUGCAAGUCGAGCGGAAAGGCCCUUCGGGGUACUCGAGCGGCGAACGGGUGAGUAACACGUGAGUAAUCUGCCCCUAGCUCUGGGAUAGCUCCGGGAAAACCGGGAUUAAUACCGGAUACGACCACUUUAGACAUCUGUUGUGGUGGAAAGAAUUUUGGCUAGGGAUGAGCUCGCGGCCUAUCAGCUUGUUGGUGGGUAAUGGCCUACAAGGCGACGACGGGUAG
RNAcentral lists this ribosomal RNA (254 nucleotides) under uncultured bacterium. Its description in RNAcentral is "partial small subunit ribosomal RNA". It matches the Rfam family "Bacterial small subunit ribosomal RNA", at positions 26 to 286 of the family's 1533-position model. The record is from RNAcentral.